UCCCUCUUAGCUCAGUUGGUAGAGCGCGUCACUAGUAUCUUCAAUCGGCACGCGCCGGUCAUGACGAGGUCAGUCGUUCAAAUCGGCUAGCGGGAA
Molecule: non-coding RNA, 96 nt
Organism: Mycena polygramma
Lineage: Eukaryota; Fungi; Basidiomycota; Agaricomycetes; Agaricales; Mycenaceae
Source: the annotation of a GenBank genome assembly